GAGUUGAUCGUGGCUCAGAGUGAACGCUGGCGGUAGGCCUAACACAUGCAAGUCGAACGGCAGCACAGAGGAGCUUGCUCCUUGGGUGGCGAGUGGCGGACGGGUGAGGAAUACAUCGGAAUCUACUCUGUCGUGGGGGAUAACGUAGGGAAACUUACGCUAAUACCGCAUACGACCUACGGGUGAAAGCAGGGGAUCUUCGGACCCUGCGCGAUUGAAUGAGCCGAUGUCGGAUUAGCUAGUUGGCGGGUAAAGGCCACCAAGGCGACGAUCCGUAGCUGGUCUGAGAGGAUGAUCAGCCACACUGGAGCUGAGACACGGUCCAGACUCCUACGGGAGGCAGCAGUGGGGAAUAUUGGACAAUGGGCGCAAGCCUGAUCCAGCCAUACCGCGUGGGUGAAGAAGGCCUCGG
This 412-nucleotide ribosomal RNA is filed under the name uncultured microorganism. RNAcentral's name for it is "bacterial SSU rRNA". It matches the Rfam family "Bacterial small subunit ribosomal RNA", at positions 9 to 420 of the family's 1533-position model. The record is from RNAcentral.